This 687-nucleotide unclassified non-coding RNA is filed under the name Leishmania donovani. Its description in RNAcentral is "gene:unknown". Lineage: Eukaryota; Euglenozoa; Kinetoplastea; Trypanosomatida; Trypanosomatidae. The record is from RNAcentral.
UCCCUGAUAAGAAGGGAAGCAUCCCUCAGUGCGUGGGGAGGAGGGGGUAUCCAGGGCCCAGUGCCCACAUACACACACUCACACCUGCUUCCUCCCCAUCCCUGCCGGUGCCAAGGCACUUCUGGUGAUGGUAGCGUCAAGUGCCUACGACGCAGCGGGGUCAGCGCGACUCCUCGCUGCCGACGUCGGCGGCCGUGGUGUGCAUGGGGCUGCUUUGGUGCGACCUGCGACAGCGAGCACGUUUGCGCCAUCCACAUGCCCGGCAACGUGCCAGCGCAACUCGAACGUAUCCCACCCGCCCACCCCACUCUCACUGCCCACCGGUGUGCAGCCUGCGAGGCGGGGGCGGGCGGAGUUGGAGACAGAGGCCGCGCUCAGGUCACUGAGUCGGUGCAUUGCCGUGACGCGUGUGUCUAGCGCUGCUUGGCAGCGUGCGAUAGGGCCCGUGACGGGCCUACAGUAGAGCUGACCUCGUCUUGUGCGGCGGAGAACGGUGAGCCUUGAAAUAAAGCAUCGUUUUAUUGUGGAUUCUUAAUCCACUCGGUCGCGACCCCCUCCCCGGCGGAUGGCCCGCGUGCGACGUUGUCCGGAGACAACCGACUUAUGUACGGCGCUAUCCUCCCCCCUCUUCCCUGCCUCCCUGCCUCCCUCCCUCCCUCCCCCUCUGCGCCGCGCCGCUGCACGCAG